GGGGCACGGGAGAGAAAACAGGGGCACGGGAGAGAAAACAGGGGCACGGGAGAGAAAACAGGGGCGCGGGAGAGAAAACAGGGGCGCGGGAGAGAAAACAGGGGCGCGGGAGAGAAAACAGGGGCGCGGGAGAGAAAACAGGGGCGCGGGAGAGAAAACAGGGGCGCGGGAGAGAAAACAGGGGCACGGGAGAGAAAACAGGGGCGCGGGAGAGAGAACAGGGGCGCGGGAGAGAGAACAGGGGCGCGGGAGAGAGAACAGGGGCGCGGGAGAGAGAACAGGGGCACGGGAGAGAGAACAGGGGCACGGGAGAGAGAACAGGGGCACGGGAGAGAGAACAGGGGCACGGGAGAGAGAACAGGGGCACGGGAGAGAGAACAGGGGCACGGUAGGCAUCUCUCUCAUUUCACACCGUCUCCUUAACGACGGACAUGUUUCAGUACGAUACAGUUAAUUUCAAACCGUUGACAGAAGCGCUGCGUCGUGGUCCUGAACACAGCCUACCAUCAUCAUCAUCAUCCUCAUCAUCAUCAUGGCACUAAAACCAGAGCAGCAGAGUCGUGGUCCUGAACAGAGCCGAGUCGUAGCAAGCAAAGCCCAGGGAUCACCGUCCGUUCUUAAAAACACUGACGUCGCCUUUUCGCGACGUAAACAAGAGUUUCUAUUUGACAACACUUCAGGCAGGUCCCGUUCCAGAUGCUUCCGGUUGGUUCCUAGUGAAUCCAUCCUUGUUCCACUGCGGUCCAGUCCUCCACCGGGUCAGUAACGGUCCAGUCCCCCCCGGGGUCGGUAACGGUCCAGUCCCCCCCGGGUCGGUAACGGUCCAGUCCCCCCCGGGUCGGUAACGGUCCAGUCAAUAACGGUCCAGUCAGUAACGGUCCAGUCCUCCACCGGGUCAGUAACGGUCCAGUCAAUAACGGUCCAGUCCUCCACCGGGUCGGUAACGGUCCAGUCAAUAACGGUCCAGUCCCCCCCGGGGUCGGUAACGGUCCAGUCCCCCCCGGGGUCGGUAACGGUCCAGUCAGUAACGGUCCAGUCAGUAACGGUCCAUCCCCCCAGGUCAGUAACGGUCCAGUCUCCCCCGGGUCAGUAACGGUCCAGUCUCCCCCGGGUCAGUAACGGGUCAGUAAUGGCACUUCUCAGGGUUGGUCCAACAGCCUGGGUCUGAAUCUUAACAGCUGUUAGCCUGCUGAACUGAAGCCAAGGCAUUAACUUGGGGGAGCUAACAAGUCUUCAGUAAACAGUCCUGGAAUUAUCCCAAAGCAGGAGAGGGGCUGGUGUAGUCAGUGGGCAGAGCUAAGGUACGGCAGCUCCACCCAUAAUGCACUGGGCUAAGGUCACAGAGGUCGUGACCACUUCUGACCCUGCCCACAUCAGGGGUUAAAGUUCA
RNAcentral lists this long non-coding RNA (1390 nucleotides) under Salmo salar (Atlantic salmon). RNAcentral describes it as "lncRNA (ENSSSAG00000084072.1)". The record is from RNAcentral. Lineage: Eukaryota; Metazoa; Chordata; Actinopteri; Salmoniformes; Salmonidae.